UUCCGUAUCCAGAAGUGAUUGUGGGCUGCCUGUGCCCUAGUCAUUAAUAACACAGGGAGGGAAAGCAUUUUCCCCAUAUUUGAAGGGUCCAGCUGUCCCUUCCAAAUCCUGGAGUCUUCACACA
Molecule: small nucleolar RNA, 124 nt
Organism: Phyllostomus discolor (pale spear-nosed bat)
Lineage: Eukaryota; Metazoa; Chordata; Mammalia; Chiroptera; Phyllostomidae
Product: small nucleolar RNA SNORA71
Exons: 1
Source: RefSeq, a predicted model, not a curated record